CCAGCAGAUGAUUAUUUAUCUCUACAAUUGCAGUGUUCUGUGUAUUUUACUCAUUUUUUAAUACCAUGGAGUCAGAAACACUUAACUGAAGGGUUCAGGAAAUGCCUUUAUCAAUGCUGCCAAAUACUUACUUUUUGAAUCUAUUAACAGUGUUUUCUGGCCCUGUGAGGCAGUCAGAGCUGUGUGAUUAUGGAAAGUAAACAACUGAAGUACCUAUGCAGGCAGCAAGAUUUAGAGUGCUCUUUUGCAGAUAACAGUGUGUCCAGAUAUUCAGAAAGAGGGAAGUUUUCAAGCAAGGUACUGACUGAUUUGUCAGCUGCUGUGUUGGGCACUGAGGCGGUGAGACACAGGAUGCAGUUCACUUGGGCGUUGGCACCAAGGAGAAUUUUCCUCCUUGUAAUCUGGCAAAGUGCCAUAUCUCCUCACCAAAGAGAUGGAAACAAAACAUAUUUUUCCUCGUCAUUAUGCAAGAAUUGAAAUAAUAAACUGUUCUGAGAUCUUG
Molecule: long non-coding RNA, 502 nt
Organism: Haemorhous mexicanus (house finch)
Lineage: Eukaryota; Metazoa; Chordata; Aves; Passeriformes; Fringillidae
Exons: 2
Source: RefSeq, a predicted model, not a curated record